Molecule: ribosomal RNA, 468 nt
Filed under: uncultured bacterium
Lineage: Bacteria
Description: partial 16S ribosomal RNA
Rfam family: Bacterial small subunit ribosomal RNA
Source: RNAcentral
GACGAACGCUGGCGGCGUGCUUAACACAUGCAAGUCGAACGGAAAGGCCCUGCGUUUGUGGGGUGAUCGAGUGGCGAACGGGUGAGUAAGACGUGAGUAACCUGCCCUUGACUUUGGGAUAACUUCAGGAAACUGGGCCUAAUACCGGAUAGGAGCCCCCGCUGCAUGGUGGGGGUUGGAAAGUCUCGGCGGUUGCGGAUGGACUCGCGGCUUAUCAGCUUGUUGGUGGGGUAGUGGCUUACCAAGGCUGUGACCGGUAGGCGGCCUGAGAGGGUGACCGGCGACAUUGGGACUGAGAUACGGCCCAGACUCCUACGGGAGGCAGCAGUGGGGAAUAUUGCACAGUGGGCGGAAGCCUGAUGCAGCGACGCCGCGUGCGGGAUGACGGCCUUCGGGUUGUAAACCGCUUUCGCCUGUGACGAAGCGUGAGUGACGGUAAUGGGUAAAGAAGCACCGGCUAACUACGUG